UUCAUGAUGAAACAUGGUCUUAAAUAAAAUAGAGAUCAGUAUGAAAAUAAAAUUAUACACAGAAAAUUCUUUUCCCCAAAUGUUUUUGAGUAACAGGGAAUACAACACAACAGUCCUGUAUUCAAAUUAUGUAAAUCUGUGAGCAGUCAAACAUUAUAGUACAUUCCUUGAAGCCAGGCACAAUGAUACACAUUGUGUGCCCCUGUAACACACUCAACACAUUUUCUAUCUAUUCUCUCUGCCUCGAAGAAAAAAAUCCUGAAAUGUAAUGCAAUGUAAAGAGGGAAAAGGAGGGAAACCAUGUUAAUGCUUGACGCACGUAUUCCCCAUUUAGUGUUUUGUGAAAGUCAUGUACCAAAUUCAGAUGAAACUUAAAACUGGCUUGUAGAAAGAUAGAAAAACUUGGAAUUGUAUUUGAUAUACAGUCUUGUGAACACUUAACUGAAAAGUAUGGAAAGGAUUAAAAAAUACACCGUGUUCUACUUAAAGCUUAGAAAUAAAUAUGCACUCCAUAUUCUCAGUGCCUGAAAUUCUUUAAAAACAAAGAACUUGGUAUAAAAUUAUAUCAAGUAAUUGUCAAAAAUGAGGAAGAUGCACCUGUAAUCCUGUUAGAUUCUGGAUGCCUGCAUCCCCACUACAAAAACCUGUAAAACUCUACACACUUUCAAACAUGCUGAAUAACCCAAACUGUAACCUAGCAAGGGCAGGAACAUCAACUGACUUGGGGGUAGCAGUAUUCCACACCACAUCCCUCAUUACCUUCUUUUCCUCUAAAGAUCUCCCUUUCCAUACUGUACCAGCCCUUACAAGUACAAAUGUUCAGUCAAUUAUUCAAAAAGCAGCCUUGCUGAUCAGGAUUCAUGGAUGCCCUCAAGGCUACAUCAUUCCCAGGAAAAACAGCGUGCAAAGAAAAAGCAUCCUCCAAAUGUGAUUUAUGUAGUUAAUAUUAUCAUAAUUCUCCUCCUCCCUGCAAUGCUGAUAAUAAACAGCAGUCUCCUGAGUGUUGCAGACUCGUUGCAGAAAAAUGUCCUACUGUAUGGAACUAUUGAACCAGUAUGGUUCAACAUGCAAGCUGUCUUCUCAUUUAGGACUUCAAGUUUAUAUAAAACUCCUCCCAUCUCAGUAACCAUGUUGCAGAAGAAAAAUCACAAGGAAUUCUUCUUUUUACUCUCAUAUUGAAUGAUCCAAUAGUCUUGUCUUUCAGGUAAAAAAAAACCACAUCAACUUUUAGGUACAGAAACCCAUCAUGAAACCCUCCCACUCUCUUACACAGUAUUUUUUUUGAUAAUAUCAUUAGAGUGUGAAUGGAAUCAAGACUUGCAUCUGCUUGGCUAAAGCUACCUAGGGUAAUUAGAAUCUUCACAAUUACCUAAGUAAGCUUUGAAAAUGCCACAUCAAUCUCUGUCUUUGUGGAAAUGCAUGUGGAUAUUUGCAUUAUGGUUCUUACACAACUAUAAUACAAAUAUCAAGUAUCUUAAAAAAACCCAAAAUCUGCAUUUUGACACAUCUAAACAUUAGGGAUUUGUCCCAUCACAUUGAAAAGGAAAGUCACCAUUGGUUGUGAUGAUUUAAUCUUUUAUCAGAAGUGGUAUCCCUUGUCAAAUGCAGAUAAUAAUAAAUAGUCAUUACUUGUACAAAUAGAAGACCACUUCGACAAACCAUCCUUAUUUAAAAGCCUCCCUUUUCCUGAAAAUAGCCCAAAUAAAAAAACAACCCAGUCCCAAUAAAACAAAACAGCCAAACCACGUAGAAGUAAAUUUUCUGAUUGUGUACUUAAGAUUUUCAAAAGCUAAUAAUCAGUUAAAGCAUGUCCUGCAGUUGCAGUAACACCAAUGUAUUUCAGGAUGAACAGUCAUUUUUUCCUAGGUGCAUUAUCCUAGCCUAAUUUUCAAGCAGGAAGUAUCCUAUUUUAUAUCCCAGGGCUCAUCACAGCUCAGUGUCCUCAAAGUGCAGUCCUUUUCCUGUGCCUACUCUCAGACUUGUCUUCACUCCAGCACUCCUCCAUAGCUGUACCUUGUGCGCUGCGUGGAACUGCCCUGUCUUAUCAUUACAGCACCUACAAUUACAUUCCUUCUCAGAAUUAUUUAUGAGGCUUCCAAGAUUUAUUUCCUUAUUCAUACAGUAAUCUACUUUAAAAUUAGUGAGCUCCAACGUCUGACUGCAGUCAGCAUGGCAAUCAAAUAUGAUGUCUCAGCAAAAUCCUCUUUUAUUGACCUUAUACUGCUGGAUGGGAAUUUCUAACUAUGAAAAAUGUAAUCCUUGUUUAAAACGAAAGGUAUUGAGUAGUCAGGGGAGUGUGUCACGAGCUGCUUGUAUUGCAAGCAGCAGGCAUCACACAUAGAAUGAGCUUUUGGGAAGAAUCCAGCUCAAGGGCUGCAUGAAAAAGCCUCCAGCUGUGGAAGGCACAGUGCUCACUACAGAACAGAUCUCCUGCUGCUGUGAUUUCUGAAUCAGCAUCACCUGCCUCACUGCAAGGGCUCUGCACCCACCUGGCCAACAGCCUGGGGCAGCCCAUGAGGCCCACAAAUUCUGGUAAUAUAAAACAUUGCAAGCAAAAUCCCCUGCCUCAUUAAUUUUGCAAAACCAAAAGACAUUUUACCCUUGGAUAUCUAAUCAACUAUUUUCAAAACCACUUUUAUGACUAUUUUUAUUGAACAGCUCAGUCUUGAUGUCAGAGUAACAGUCAUCCUGUCCACUCUGGACUGAGCUGCUUUUGAAAGCAAACCCAAACCAAGAGUCUUACUGCGAUACUACAGCUACAGUCAGUGUAGGUGGUCAGCAAUUGUCUCUGGGUGAUUGUAGGAUUAUGUGCAAUCAAAAGGGACAGGAUGGAUGGCUUUGGAAGGCAGCCCAGAAUAAGGGAGACCAGAGUCCUGUGGAGUUCUGUAGGUCUAUACAUUUAAAAGCUAAUUGAUGUCAGCACAAAAGGAUGUUAAAUUAGUUGAACAAUAUACCUCCUGAGUGCUUAACAAAAGCCUCAAAGCAGGCAAGGCUUUUUCUAACACGGCUGAAUGAGAAGCUUCUCAAAGUUCUGAAAACAAGAAACAACUGAAACCCAAAAUAUAAAGUUUCCUUAUUCAGAAGUUUUUUAACAGGCAAAAGGACUGAGAGAAGCAUAGCUCGUCUCCCUUUCACAUCCAUCAUAGCUUUGAGAAAUUUGUCAGAAUACAUCUCUAGUUAAAAUUUUAGUAUAAUUAUUCCGCAAUGUAAUCUGAAAGGAAACAAGUUCAAAUUUUGAAAUAGAGACUUAGAAAGGGGAUAAUCAAUGAGUGUAGCAAUUAUUUCACAUAGUCAUCAGGAGGUAUUUUUAAAUGCAUUUUGAAUACAUUCAGACACUUCAAUGGAUUGUAACCAUUCCAGGAGUCCUUGACUGUCAUCCUUUUAUCAAAAAUCAGGAGGAACCUUUCUAAACAGUGGCCAGAAGGUCAGUCAUACUAAACAGAAUUAUCAAAUAAUCAUGAUUUACCUUAAAAUACCUACAGCAUAAUAUGGUUCUGAUCAAAGCCUAUGAAGUAAAGUCCUAAAGGAAAAUAUUUAGUAAAAAAUACUAAAAACGUUUAAGUAAAAAACAUUCCAUAGCAAUGAACACCCCAAACAGUAGUAGCCUAGUGCCAAAAUUAGUCAGUCUAAAGCUGAACAGAAGCACUGUGAAGUUCAUGGUCUAUUUAGAAGACAUGCAAAAUAUAAACCCCAUCUUUCAUUGUGAAAAUUCUGUGUUUGGAGAGUCAGCACUGUAAUUCUGCAUACUGCUAACUGAAGUGGGUUAUACUGCCUUUACAGUAAAGUUAUUCUUUUCCUCUAGUAUUUACCUAACAUAUAUUUAGUUUUCCAGCAAACAAGUAAUUUCAAAUUCAACCUCCAAAAUUUUUUUAUUGUAAAGUAUUUAGGCAAAAUGUUAAACUAGUCCAACAGCAGCUAUGUCAUUGCACUAUCAAAAUUGUAAAGAAUUUUUUUACUUAAACUGAUGAGCCAGUCCACCCAUAGUAUUUCUGCAGUUCUGUUUUAUAGCACAUAAUUGAGUCAAGCCACAGUUUAUGAAGCCAGCUUUCAGUAAUUCUUCUGAAAUUUUGCUUGGAGUUCAAUUGCUUGCCCAGAGAGAAAAGGAUGAGAAGGGGAAACAACAGUAUAGGAAGCUACAUCUGCAGUCUUAUGAUUGGAGAUUAACCUUCUGCUCAAUUCCCAUUAGUGCUAACAGGAAUAUAUUAACCACAUAAAAAAGUAGCAGGCAAAAAACACUAUUAAGACAGCGUGCUUCAAGCAGCUCCAUAAAACUCUGCAGCAACUCAGUAAACAUCUGCAAUUAAUACUGCUGAGAUUACAUUUAACAACCAGAUGAUACAACUACAAAUACUUCAGAAGGAAUUUUUUUUACUUUUUCUAAAGGAUUAAAAAUACAUAAGAAACCACAAACCUCUUCUCUUUCCUAUAAUUUUAAACUGAGCAAACUACCAGUCCAGUGCUCUGCCAGUCCAAUUCCUACCAGAAGCUUUGUGUGAUGUCCUGCCAGAGCACUGCUGCCUAAAUUUUCAGUUCCCUGAAGAUUACAGCUAUUCCCACCCCUGUGUGACCCAGGGCUGCCUGCUGCCAUGUGGAGCUCAUGUGGUGCCCAUGAGCAGGCGUGCCUGGGAAUGAAGAAUUCACCCCACAUACUCUCUAAGCCAUAUUAACAUUUUUUAUGGUAAGGUCAGUACAGGAUAAUGAAAAUGAUGUUUAAAAGCAAAAGGAGGCAAAUAUUUGAUGAAUUCCAAGGAAAAAGAGCUGGCAGGGAGGGGGUGGAUUGAAAGGCUUUCCUGUCCUGCCCUGCCAGGUGCUGCUGGCGGUGUGACAGAGGUGGCAGAUGGCUGUGCCCUGCUGCUGUGGGCAAAGGCACCACUCCCCUCACUGCUGCUGGCCUGCAGACUCUCAAUGGGUGCUUGCCACAGAGCAGGUGCCACACUGCAGAACUUACUGAUUCCAAGUUUUUGUGGUGUAUUUAGGAGUGUUCUGGCUAUAACCUGAUUGCCAGCAGUGCCAGCUGAGCAAAGCACACCUCUGCUAGGCUGGGAUGCUGGGACCUGGGGAGAGGGGCCUGCCCUAGCAUAUGGGGGACAAAGGCCAGUCUCCUGCCAGCCUGGGAGGCUGCAGUGACCUGGGAGCUGCUUUUUUGGCUGCUGAUGUGUGGCUCCACUUCCCAGCAGAGCAGGAAACAUGGGCACCUCACUUAAAUUCCUGCAGGGACCUCCCCUGCCAGCUUCUGUGUGAUGGAGAUGCUGCAGGUUAAGCUAGUAUGAGUUAUCAUUGGCUGAAGGGAUUCUUCAGUGUACUUUUUUCCUUCCUAAAUGCAAAGCUCCUUAGCACCAUCUGGAAAACCUCCAAGAACAUACAGAACUUUGGAAAGGCUCCCCAGUUUUGCUCUGUGUGGACCCUCAUCCCUGUGUCAUAAGCAAUGACAUGGUGGUGCCUGCUGCAGUCAGCUGCAGGACAUGAAAACUGGCUUUCCCUUGGGACACAUUUAAUGGCAAGGCUUCCAAAACCAAAGGAAGAACAUUCCAAGCAGUUGCCAGGAGAUGUGGGUAUUUGACUAAGCUCAGGCUUCCUUUCCUAUAGUUCCUCCU
This 5594-nucleotide long non-coding RNA is filed under the name Taeniopygia guttata (zebra finch). RNAcentral describes it as "lncRNA (ENSTGUG00000021123.1)". The record is from RNAcentral. Lineage: Eukaryota; Metazoa; Chordata; Aves; Passeriformes; Estrildidae.